Long non-coding RNA from Oncorhynchus keta (chum salmon), 1641 nucleotides. RefSeq lists it as uncharacterized. The record is from RefSeq and is a predicted model, not a curated record. The transcript is spliced from 4 exons. NCBI's taxonomy places the organism in Eukaryota, Metazoa, Chordata, Actinopteri, Salmoniformes, Salmonidae.
CACACACACACACACGAACGAAGACAGCCUGAGUCACCAUGGAGACAGGUCAACAAGGUGGUGGUGGAUUGUAGAGAGAGCAUUCCAGAGGCACUAACAGAACAGCCCCACUCAGAGAGCCGUCUGUGUGUGUGAGCAGAGUGCUGUGACUGUGUGUGUGUGAGAGCAGAGUACUGUGACUGUGCGUGUGCGUGUGUGUGUGUGUGUGUGUGUGUAGAGUACUGUGACUGUGAGGGGAAAGUUAGAGAGGUAACACUGUAGUGUAGCCUGGCUAAAAGCAGGAAGUACUGUGACUGUGAGGGGAAAGUUAGAGAGAGGUAACACUGUAGUGGAGCCUGGCUAAAAGUAGGAAGUAGUGUGACUGUGAGGGGAAAGUUAGAGAGGUAACACUGUAAUGUAGCCUGGCUAAAAGCAGGAAGUACUGUGACUGAGGGGAAAGUUAGAGAGGUAACACUGUAGUGGAGCCUGGCUAAAAGCAGGAAGUAGUGUGACUGAGGGGAAAGUUAGAGAGAGGUAACACUGUAGUGUAGCCUGGCUAAAAGCAGGAAGUACUGUGACUGUGAGGGGAAAGUUAGAGAGAGGUAACACUGUAGUGUAGCCUGGCUAAAAGCAGGAAGUACUGUGACUGUGAGGGGAAAGUUAGAGAGAGGUAACACUGUAGUGUAGCCUGGCUAAAAGCAGGAAGUACUGUGACUGUGAGGGGAAAGUUAGAGAGAGGUAACACUGUAGUGUAGCCUGGCUAAAAGCAGGAAGUAGUGUGACUGUGAGGGGAAAGUUAGAGAGGUAACACUGUAGUGUAGCCUGGCUAAAAGCAGGAAGUAGUGUGACUGAGGGGAAAGUUAGAGAGGUAACACUGUAGUGUAGCCUGGCUAAAAGCAGGAAGUAGUGUGACUGUGAGGGGAAAGUUAGAGAGAGGUAACACUGUAGUGUAGCCUGGCUAAAAGCAGGAAGUAGUGUGACUGUGAGGGGAAAGUUAGAGAGAGGUAACACUGUAGUGUAGCCUGGCUAAAAGCAGGAAGUAGUGUGACUGUGAGGGGAAAGUUAGAGAGAGGUAACACUGUAGUGUAGCCUGGCUAAAAGCAGGAAGUACUGUGACUGUGAGGGGAAAGUUAGAGAGAGGUAACACUGUAGUGUAGCCUGGCUAAAAGCAGGAAGUACUGUGACUGUGAGGGGAAAGUUAGAGAGGUAACACUGUAGUGUAGCCUGGCUAAAAGCAGGAAGUAGUGUGACUGAGGGGAAAGUUAGAGAGGUAACACUGUAGUGUAGCCUGGCUAAAAGCAGGAAGUAGUGUGACUGAGGGGAAAGUUAGAGAGGUAACACUGUAGUGUAGCCUGGCUAAAAGCAGGAAGUACUGUGACUGAGGGGAAAGUUAGAGAGAGGUAACACUGUAGUGUAGCCUGGCUAAAAGCAGGAAGUACUGUGACUGUGAGGGGAAAGUUAGAGAGAGGUAACACUGUAGUGUAGCCUGGCUAAAAGCAGGAAGUACUGUGACUGUGAGGGGAAAGUUAGAGAGAGGUAACACUGUAGUGUAGCCUGGCUAAAAGCAGGAAGUAGUGUGACUGUGAGGGGAAAGUUAGAGAGGUAACACUGUAGUGUAGCCUGGCUAAAAGCAGGAAGUACUGUGACUGUGAGGGGAAAGUU